AUCAAAUUAUCGGCCAUGGAUUCCUUACUCCUACAUUUUUGUAGGAAUAUCAUUAACCUGCAUUAAAAUAAUUAUAAAAUAUACCCUUUUUUGUAAAAAUUACUAAUUACAUUUUGACCCCUUUAAUUAUUGAUUUUUUAACUUUGUUCCUUUUCCUUUCAUUCUCAUAUUAGAAGCAUUCAAGCAUUCAGAGAAGAAAAGAUCUGCUAGGGUUUUCAUAUAAUUUCAAUUCCUGCAUUUCUCACUUCCACUUCCUUUUCUUCUGUUGUAAAUCUCAUUAGCAUAUCGUCGCCGCUGCAACACGCCUCCGCCACCACCGCAACCAGCCGCCGCCGCGCGCAACCUGCUGUGGCCGCCGCAACCUGCCGCCACGUAAAACGUUGCCGCCGCCGCGCAAGAAGCUUCCACCUCCAUCGCGCAAGACGCUGCUUCAAUGCUUAGAGGCAGUUUCUUUCAAGGAGAGAAUCUUGUUCUUGACUGUGUCACAGCCCCCAAAUGUUGAGCAGCUAAGAGCAAGGAUCUAGGGUUUCAUUAUGGGGAAUCAAAGCUUGAAUCCAAAUUAUGUGAUUCCCCAGUGGAUGCCGCAAUUUGAUUGCAAAACAAAAACUCAAAACCUUAUUGUUCUUGAUGAUGUUUGGUCACUCUGUGCUGCAACAGCUUGUGUGCAGAAUACCUGACUGCAAAUUCCUUGUUGUCUCUAGAGAGAAAUUCCAAAUUUGUAAUGCCACCUAUGAGGUGGAACUGUUGAGUGAAGAGGAUGCACUAUCUUUGUUCUAUCAUCAUGCUUUUGGACAGAAAUCAAUCCCUGUAGCUGCCAAUCAAUAGAAUCUAGUAAUGCAGGCUAUGCACAAAAUUGCUUACAUGAAAAAUCCCUUAAAACUUUUUGUGACAUGAGAAUUGCCGGAGUCAAUCCAGACCAAUAUAUUUUUGCGAGUAUUCUGAGUGUCUGUGCAGAAUUGACUGUUCUAGAAUUUGGUAAACAAGUGCAUGCAGACUUUAUUAAAUCAGGUCUUAGGUCAUGAUUAUUAGUAGAUAACUCUCUUGUGAUAAUGUGCAAAAUGUGGAUGCUUGGAUCAUGCUGAUACUAUUUUUAUUUCAAUGCAAGUCCAGAUGUAAUUACUUGGAUGGCUCUUAUUGUUGGUUAUGCACAGAAUGGGAAAGGAAGAGAAUCCUUAAGAAUUUAUAAUGCUAUGGUUUCAUGUGGUACAAAACCAGACUAUAUCACAUUUAUAUGAUUAUUAUGAUGCUAUGUUUGUUGCUUGGUUACCUCAUUUUGUGCAUGUGGUUGUCAAGUUUUAAGGGGCUAUCUAAAUGCUUGGGAACAGAGUGUAAUUUUUCAGACUGGCAAUGGAGAUUGUGAUGACUAAUGAUGUAUUUCAGUUCCUAAAAGUACCUGCUACUUGCUUAAAUUGGACGAGAUGCACAUUGCAUUACCUGUUAAUUGGAACUCGGAGCAACAUCUUUUUCUUAAAUGGUGAUUGGCGAAGGAGGCACGGACCCGUCAAAAACCUACUUAUUAAUUGGAAACUUAUUAUUUAUUUUAUUUUUUAUUUACAAGUAAAAUUAUUUAGGGGGGUCACUGUCUCAGCUUCUACUGGUAGUGCUGUAGUGAUCAAAGUCAAGUAGUGCCUCAUUUGACACAUUUGUUCAUUUUUUCACCAUAACCAAUAAUAGAAUGUUCUCUCCUUCUUAGGAAACUUCAAAGUGGAAAGUGAAUGUGUAAUUUCCACGGUGAAACCGUGUUUGUACAUGCAUGACAAUAAUGUUAUAUAAACACACACACUUAUUUUAUACACACGAGCCUUUUCUUCCACUUCGAGAACAAAAGAAUAUAUAUAAUGGUGGCAAAGUAUAGUAACAUUGCUUUGCUUACUAUUGCGGUGAUGCUUCUGUUUAGACGAUGAAUAAGCUAGAAAAUUGUUAUUAUUUAAGCCAUUAUUUUUUGU
Long non-coding RNA from Arachis stenosperma, 1946 nucleotides. RefSeq lists it as uncharacterized. NCBI's taxonomy places the organism in Eukaryota, Viridiplantae, Streptophyta, Magnoliopsida, Fabales, Fabaceae. The transcript has 4 exons. The record is from RefSeq and is a predicted model, not a curated record.